Xenopus laevis (African clawed frog) is the source of this 719-nucleotide long non-coding RNA. RefSeq lists it as uncharacterized. The record is from RefSeq and is a predicted model, not a curated record. NCBI's taxonomy places the organism in Eukaryota, Metazoa, Chordata, Amphibia, Anura, Pipidae. The transcript is spliced from 3 exons.
UUAUAGCAGGGGGUACAUUAUGCAUUAUAAUCUACAUUUUCUGGGUGCAGUGUCUUGAUUCCUAAAGAUGUCUGGCUCUGUUCUGCCCUUGCCUUCUUGCCUGCCACAGGUGAUGUAAUAGGAGAAAGGACUGGAGACUGAGGUGGGAGUGUAAGUUGAGAGGGAGGUUAUGUGAAAAUUGGGAGAGUUGGUGAGAAGGAAUGGAGAGAGACCAUGUGAGGGGGAGGGAGACCCAGCGAGGGGGCUAGACAGAACCGACACAGAGAUACAGGGAGUCAAACGUGAGACUGUGUCAGUGCAAAAUGCUUCCCAUCCCUCCUGCCAGCCCCUCCCCAUUGGCAAUGAGUUUCAGAGCAUCACCAGUUAAAUGGGAAGGAGCUAGAAUGAGCCUGUCAGCACGGACUGACACAGAAAACCAGCAUACCUGCUGCAACCGCUCCGCUCAGCACCUCUUUGAUAAUUACUCCUCCCCCUCCCCAAUGAAUUUCCCCGCACUAACAACAAGGGGAGGGAGAUAAGAGCAGAGCGCAGACAUGGAUCAGCAGGGGGAGCACAUGAGACGGAAGCUAUGAGGGGCCAUAUCUGAGAGGGAGUCAGAGGAAAGGAGCGCACUGUGCUGUCCCAUAACCCAUCACAGCCUACAGUGUUGCUGCUGCUAUCGCCAUUACUUCCAGUUACAGCAGAGAAGGUAAUCCAAAGGAUUUAAUAUCAGACAACGG